RNAcentral lists this ribosomal RNA (511 nucleotides) under Carlia sp. TTWR-2003. Its description in RNAcentral is "partial 16S ribosomal RNA". It matches the Rfam family "Bacterial large subunit ribosomal RNA", at positions 1818 to 2595 of the family's 2925-position model. Lineage: Eukaryota; Metazoa; Chordata; Lepidosauria; Squamata; Scincidae. The record is from RNAcentral.
GCCUUUAGCCAAACAAGUAUUAAAGGUGUUGCCUGCCCAGUGAAACUUUUCAACGGCCGCGGUAUCCUAACCGUGCAAAGGUAGCGUAAUCACUUGUCUUUUAAAUAAAGACUAGUAUGAAAGGCUAAAUGAAGACGAAACUGUCUCUUAUAGCAAACCAGUAAAACUGAUCUCCGAGUACAAAAGCUCGAAUAAACCCAUAAGACGAGAAGACCCUGUGGAGCUUAAAACUAAUGCUAUCUACAGAAUAACACAAGUUUUAAGUUGGGGCGACUUCGGAACAAAACAAAACUUCCGAGCACAGAGCCAACCACUCUAAUCUAGACCAACAAGUCAAAGAAUAAUAAUGACCCAGUCUUACUGAACAACGAACCAAGUUACCCCAGGGAUAACAGCGCCAUCUUCUUCAAGAGUCCCUAUCGACAAGAAGGUUUACGACCUCGAUGUUGGAUCAGGACACCCAAAUGGUGCAGCAGCUAUUAAAGGUUCGUUUGUUCAACGAUUAACAGUC